CGGAGCUCGUAUGGACGAGUUUACGGGAUAAAAACGGGGCUCCGGGAAGGCCUGUUUUGGAUACCCGUUUAAGUGAGAAAAUGUUUUAUUUAUAAAUACCUUUUUACUCUUUUUCUUUUAUUUUCCCCCUCGCCGUUUCUUUCUUCCCCGCACCCUCACUCGAGCCUCGCCCGCGCCUCUUCUGUUCCUCUCGCCGAACUCGGCACCGAGCCUUCUUCCCCGCCAAAUGCUGUGCCCUAACUGCCACUCGGCGGUUCCUUCUCCUCGUCGCGUGCCCUAGUCCUUACCCGUGCCUAUUUCAUUUCGGCGCUGAUCUUUUUCCUUCCCUAAGUCUUGACGCCGUGCCCUAGUUUUUUCUUCUCGCCGCGAGCUCUCGCCGGCUGAACCCUUCUUCCCUUCUGUUUUCUACCUCCGGCCGCCGAGCAAAGCUGUCUUCUAUGUGCCCUAGCCGCGAGCCACCCGAGCACCAUCGCACCUCUGUCCUAGGUGACGGCCAAAGGGGGAAAGGACCGUUCCCUAGAUCUAUUCCUCACUGCCGCACGAAACAGCGCCACCAGCCGGUCUCAUCGGGCCCUAGCAUUGUCGCCGGAUCCUUGAUCACCUCUGAUCAGUGGAGAGGAAGAAGCAGGGAGAUUGUACUAGGUGGGUAGUUCUUGGUCCGACCCAUCUUGAUCCAGCGUUAACAGUGGCUAGGUAGUGAGGUUAACCAGAGGUAUUUGGUUGGAACGACAGCAGGCGUCUUCGGCAGUGACUCAACAGCCGAAUAUGCAUAUUUGGGUGAGUUUUGGAUUGAGGUAAAUGCAUUGUUGUUAGUAUAAAUGGAUUUUGGAGUUAGUAAAUCUAUUAUGGUUUGUGUAAUUUGGAUUGGUUGAAUAUCAUGAUGGAAUGUAUGUCGUUAGGCUCAUUGAAUUGAUUUUUCAUACGUGGAGUGUUUGAUUAUUGAUCGAGGAUCAUUGGAUUUAUUCGAUGAGUUAGGAAUGUUGGAUUAAACCUGACUCAAUCAAAUGGAUUGGAUGAAUCGAAAUUUAUCGUUGCAUUGAGGUUUCCUUAAUUGGUUUUAGGGAUUUUAUUUAGCUAUUUAACCCAUGUGAAUUUAGCUAAAUAAAAUAUAUUGAUACAGGACUCUGAUUCGAGAUGAGCAUCUCAACGUCGGAU
Long non-coding RNA from Zingiber officinale, 1155 nucleotides. RefSeq lists it as uncharacterized. The record is from RefSeq and is a predicted model, not a curated record. The transcript has 3 exons. Lineage: Eukaryota; Viridiplantae; Streptophyta; Magnoliopsida; Zingiberales; Zingiberaceae.